AUACGUAGGGGGCGAGCGUUGUCCGGAAUGAUUGGGCGUAAAGGGCGCGUAGGCGGCCUGUUAAGUCUGGAGUGAAAGUCCUGUUUUCAAGAUGGGAAUUGCUUUGGAUACUGAUGGGCUUGAGUGCAGGAGAGGUUAUCGGAAUUCCCGGUGUAGCGGUGAAAUGCGUAGAGAUCGGGAGGAACACCAGUGGCGAAGGCGGGUAACUGGACUGCAACUGACGCUGAGGCGCGAAAGUGUGGGGAGCAAACAGGAUUAGAUACCCUGGUAGUCCACACUGUAAACGAUGAAUGCUAGGUGUAAGGGGUAUCGACCCCUUUUGUGCCGGAGUUAACACAAUAAGCAUUCCGCCUGGGGAGUACGGCCGCAAGGUUGAAACUCAAAUGAAUUGACGG
Molecule: ribosomal RNA, 395 nt
Filed under: uncultured bacterium
Lineage: Bacteria
Description: partial 16S ribosomal RNA
Rfam family: Bacterial small subunit ribosomal RNA
Source: RNAcentral